Molecule: ribosomal RNA, 253 nt
Filed under: uncultured bacterium
Lineage: Bacteria
Description: partial 16S ribosomal RNA
Rfam family: Bacterial small subunit ribosomal RNA
Source: RNAcentral
CACGUAGGAGACAAGCGUUAUCCGGAUUUACUGGGUGUAAAGCGCGUGCAGGCGGUUUUGUAAGUUGGAUGUGAAAGCUCCUGGCUUAACUGGGAGAGGUCGUUCAAGACUGCAAGACUAGAGGAUGUCAGAGGGGAGUGGAAUUCCGAGUGUAGCGGUAAAAUGCAUAGAUAUUCGGAAGAACACCAGUGGCGAAGGCGACUCUCUGGGGCAUAUCUGACGCUCAGACGCGAAAGCUAGGGUAGCAAACGGG